RNAcentral lists this ribosomal RNA (421 nucleotides) under uncultured bacterium. RNAcentral's name for it is "bacterial SSU rRNA". It matches the Rfam family "Bacterial small subunit ribosomal RNA", at positions 356 to 774 of the family's 1533-position model. The record is from RNAcentral.
GAGGAAUAUUGGACAAUGGGUGGAAGCCUGAUCCAGCCAUCCCGCGUGAAGGAUGACGGUUCUAUGGAUUGUAAACUUCUUUUGUACAGGGAUAAACCUGCCCUCGUGAGGGCAGCUGAAGGUACUGUACGAAUAAGCACCGGCUAACUCCGUGCCAGCAGCCGCGGUAAUACGGAGGGUGCGAGCGUUAUCCGGAUUUAUUGGGUUUAAAGGGUCCGUAGGCGGGCCUGUAAGUCAGUGGUGAAAUCUCAUAGCUUAACUAUGAAACUGCCAUUGAUACUGCAGGCCUUGAGUAAAUUUGAAGUGGCUGGAAUAAGGAGUGUAGCGGUGAAAUGCAUAGAUAUUACUUAGAACACCGAUUGCGAAGGCAGGUCACUAAGAUUUAACUGACGCUGAUGGACGAAAGCGUGGGGAGCGAACG